CGGUGAUGCGGCGGCAUUCCUUGAGAACCACUGGGGUGAGGAAGAGCUCCUUGCGGAUCAUAGUGUCGUUUUUGUAGUUGGAAUUAUUAGCAUAACAGAGCUUACCUUCUGGCUUGAAUUCCAACUCAAAAACUCGUGGCCGAAUUUUCCUUUGUGCCCCACGUAGUAACGGAGGUAAAGUUCUCCGCCGUCCUCGGCCGCCAUUGUUUCCCACAGAUUCUCGACCAAACAGUAGAGUAACGAACUCCUAUCGAAGGGAAAAUGGAUGGGUAUUGCCAAAAUUACAAGUCUUGGGUAUGGGCAUGAUUGAUCCGAGCCACCCAGUUCACAGGACGAUCUGUGGUGAAUCAUGGGUAUGGGCAAGAGUGGGUUCAUUCAUGGCCUCACUCAAAAUUGAAGCCCGUAGAGAAAGAAAGAGAAAUUGGACAAUAAGGAUAAGCCUUAACCCAGCAGCAACUGAGAAUUAUGGUUCUAGACUAGUCUACCUGUUCUUUACUCUGUUUUUCCAUCCAAUUUAUGUCACCAUCUCUUCCAUCAACACCCUCCUCAAUUUGCAUAGGGAACAGAUGUGAGUUCUCCACUGGCUUUCCCCAAAUCAGAGCAUGAAAUUUGAACGAAAUACAUCACCUGGUCUGCAUGCACAAGUACUGCCCAAUAAAAAGCCCUCCUUUUAAGCCAAAACCUGUGGGCAGUUAAAGACUUAAGUCUUGUCGGCUUUGACAUUGGCUAAAGUCCAAACUGAUCCUGAGAUUUGCGCACCAAUUGUAGUAAACAAAUUCAUGUAGUAAAAAUAUACUGUUUUUUAGUAGAAACAUGGAGUAAAGUCCGUCGGAGUGUGGGUUAUGUUGUAUUCAACAAACAAAAAUGACCUGAGACCACCGACUUGCUUGCGGCUCUUCACUCCUAGGCCAAUUUUUUCCAGUUGAAUUAGUAGAGAAGAAACAGAGGG
Long non-coding RNA from Gossypium arboreum, 949 nucleotides. RefSeq lists it as uncharacterized. NCBI's taxonomy places the organism in Eukaryota, Viridiplantae, Streptophyta, Magnoliopsida, Malvales, Malvaceae. The record is from RefSeq and is a predicted model, not a curated record. The transcript has 2 exons.